AGACAACUUUGUGAUUCAACUGCAGGUUUUCUUUGCGCAGCUCAUGCUUUCUGACAUGAAUAAAGAACUCAAAGGAUUAAGAUGCGUGGUGAGUGGUUCUGGAAAGAUUACAAUGCAUGUUUUGGAGAAGCUAAUUGCUUAUGGUGCUCUUCCCAUUUCCGUAUCAGAUUCUAAAGGAUAUUUGGUUGAUGAGGAUGGAUUUGACUACAUGAGAAUACAAUUUCUGAGAGACAUGAAAGCUCAACAGAGAAGUUAGAGAGACUAUUUAAAGACAUAUGCUCGGUC
This is a non-coding RNA of Arachis ipaensis, 285 nucleotides long. The record is from RefSeq and is a predicted model, not a curated record. Lineage: Eukaryota; Viridiplantae; Streptophyta; Magnoliopsida; Fabales; Fabaceae.